CAGCCGCCGCGGUAAUACCAGCUCUCCGAGUAGUGUGGACGUUUAUUGGGCCUAAAGCAUCCGUAGCUUGCUAGAUAAGUCCUCUGUUAAAUCCACCGAUUCAAUCGUUGGAUUGCGGGGGAUACUGUUUGGCUAGGGGACGGGAGAGGUCGACGGUAUUUCCGGGGUAGGGGUGAAAUCCUAUAAUCCCGGGAGGACCACCAGUGGCGAAGGCUGUCGACUAGAACGCGCCCGACGGUGAGGGAUGAAAGCUGGGGGAGCGAACCGGAUUAGAUACCCGGGUAGUCCCAGCUGUAAACGAUGCAGGCUAGGUGUUUGGGCGGCCACGAGCCGCUCUAGUGCCGCAGGGAAGUUGUUCAGCCUGCCGCCUGGGGAGUACGGCCGCAAGGCUGAAACUUAAAGGAAUUGGCGGGGGAGCACCACAAGGGGUGAAGCUUGCGGUUUAAUUGGAGUCACCGCCGGAAAUCUCACCGGGAUCGACAGCAGUAUAAAGGCCAGAUUAAAGGUCUUGCUAGACGAGUUGAGAGGAGGUGCAUGGCCGUCGCCAGUUCGUGCCGUGAGGUGUUCUGUUAAGUCAGGCAACGAUCGAGACCCGCGUCCUCUGUUGCUACUGGUUUUGUGCCAGGCACACUGAGGAGACCGCCGCUGAUAAAGCGGAGGAAGGAGCGGGCCACGGCAGGUCAGUAUGCCCCGAAUAUCCCGGGCCACACGCGAGCUGCAAUGGCAGGUACAAUGGGUUCCGACCUCGUAAGGGGAAGGCAAUCUCGAAAGCCUGCCGUAGUUGGGAUCGAGGGUUGAAACUCACCCUCGUGAACAUGGAAUCCCUAGUAAUCGCGUGUCACUAGCGCGCGGUGAAUACGUCCCUGCUCCUUGCACACACCGCCCGUCGUUCCACCCGAGCGACUCCUGGGUGAGGCGUGGUCUUCCUUGGCUGCGUCGAAUCUGGGUUUCGCAAGGGGGGAAAAGUCGUAACAAGGUAACCGUA
This 985-nucleotide ribosomal RNA is filed under the name uncultured crenarchaeote. RNAcentral's name for it is "bacterial SSU rRNA". It matches the Rfam family "Archaeal small subunit ribosomal RNA", at positions 459 to 1451 of the family's 1478-position model. The record is from RNAcentral. Lineage: Archaea; Thermoproteati; Thermoproteota.